UCCUUGAUAGCUCAGUUGGUAAAGAAUCUGCCUGCAAUGCAGGAGACCUGGGUUUGAUUCCUGGGUCAGGAA
Molecule: transfer RNA, 72 nt
Filed under: Ovis aries (sheep)
Lineage: Eukaryota; Metazoa; Chordata; Mammalia; Artiodactyla; Bovidae
Rfam family: tRNA
About the family: Transfer RNA (tRNA) molecules are approximately 80 nucleotides in length. Their secondary structure includes four short double-helical elements and three loops (D, anti-codon, and T loops).
Source: Rfam by way of RNAcentral